AGAAUAGUGGCAUAGUGGUUUAAGAGUUGGAUUCUGACUCUGGAGACCAGGGUUCGAUUCCCACCUUGUCCG
Non-coding RNA from Phrynosoma platyrhinos (Desert horned lizard), 72 nucleotides. NCBI's taxonomy places the organism in Eukaryota, Metazoa, Chordata, Lepidosauria, Squamata, Phrynosomatidae. The record is from the annotation of a GenBank genome assembly.